UACGUAGGGGGCAAGCGUUGUCCGGAUUUAUUGGGCGUAAAGAGCGUGUAGGCGGCCGUACAGGUCAGCUGUGAAAACUCGAGGCUCAACCUCGAGACGUCGGUUGAAACCGUACGGCUAGAGUCCGGAAGAGGAGAGUGGAAUUCCCGGUGUGAGCGGUGAAAUGCGCAGAUAUCGGGAAGAACACCCGUGGCGAAGGCGGCUCUCUGGGACGGUACUGGACGCUGAGACGCGAAAGCGUGGGGAGCGAACGAGG
Molecule: ribosomal RNA, 256 nt
Filed under: uncultured bacterium
Lineage: Bacteria
Description: partial 16S ribosomal RNA
Rfam family: Bacterial small subunit ribosomal RNA
Source: RNAcentral